Molecule: transfer RNA, 87 nt
Filed under: Lachnospiraceae bacterium
Lineage: Bacteria; Bacillati; Bacillota; Clostridia; Lachnospirales; Lachnospiraceae
Description: tRNA-Leu
Rfam family: tRNA
About the family: Transfer RNA (tRNA) molecules are approximately 80 nucleotides in length.
Source: RNAcentral
GCCGGCGUGGCGGAACUGGCAGACGCGCAGGACUUAAAAUCCUGUUGUAGCAAUACAGUACCGGUUCGAUUCCGGUCGCCGGCAGCA